CCGAAUACAUUAGCAUGGGAUAAUGGAAUAGGACCCUGUCCUCCUAUUUUCAGUUGGUUUUGGCAGCGCGAGGACUAGGGUAAUGAUUAAUAGGGAUAGUUGGGGGCAUUAAUAUUUAAUUGUCAGAGGUGAAAUUCUUGGAUUUAUGAAAGAUUAACUUCUGCGAAAGCAUCUGCCAAGGAUGUUUUCAUUAAUCAAGAACGAAAGUUAGGGGAUCGAAGACGAUCAGAUACCGUCGUAGUCUUAACCAUAAACGAUGCCGACCAGCGAUUAGGAGACGUUGAAUACAAAACACCACCAUCGGUGCGGUCGUCCUUGGCGUCGGUCUUUCGGGGCCGGCGCGGGGACGGCUUAGCCCGGUGGCACCGGUGAAUGACUCCCUAGCAGC
This 388-nucleotide ribosomal RNA is filed under the name Acanthamoeba sp. RNAcentral's name for it is "SSU rRNA". It matches the Rfam family "Eukaryotic small subunit ribosomal RNA", at positions 795 to 1087 of the family's 1831-position model. Lineage: Eukaryota; Discosea; Longamoebia; Acanthamoebidae. The record is from RNAcentral.